UUAUUAUAGCACCGGUCGAUGGGAGACGACUCGUGGGUGGCAUGUGUGGGUUUACUGACUGGUUGCCUUCACCCAAAACGAUCACGUUCUCGUGAUGCCUGUGGCAGAAAGGAUGUUCCACAUCCGCCGGAAAGGUCAUGGGCAAGUAUGCGAACCUGGACCCAAAAACUAUGGUG
This is a non-coding RNA of Dermacentor albipictus, 176 nucleotides long. NCBI's taxonomy places the organism in Eukaryota, Metazoa, Arthropoda, Arachnida, Ixodida, Ixodidae. The record is from RefSeq and is a predicted model, not a curated record.